UUGUCAGUACCCCCCCCUGCAGGACGGCGAACAUGAAGAACCUCACUAGCACGUAGACGGCGGCCAGCAGGUGGCUCCACACGCUCAGCGUCUCGUUGUGGAUCUGGAAGAGACUGAGGACAGAACAGCGCCAGGACAAGUCCACCGGACGAUACCCGGACAGGAUGAACUGCUCCCGGAACAGAGGGGGGACGUCCACGUCUCGCACCGUCGGGGGAAGGGAGGGGAGGAGGCGCUCCAGCAGAGGGAGAAAGAAACUGGAACUGAGCUGUUGCUGCUAGGUCCUGCUGCACAGCCACAACUGUCACAUGUGCAGCCCACGGCCACCGACAGGUAGGACGCGGUGUAGCAGAGCGCCCCCUGCGGGCGGUUCAGGACCAGGACGCUCUGGUAGACGGGGACUGACAU
Molecule: long non-coding RNA, 408 nt
Organism: Platichthys flesus (European flounder)
Lineage: Eukaryota; Metazoa; Chordata; Actinopteri; Pleuronectiformes; Pleuronectidae
Exons: 3
Source: RefSeq, a predicted model, not a curated record